RNAcentral lists this ribosomal RNA (160 nucleotides) under uncultured eukaryote. RNAcentral describes it as "partial 18S ribosomal RNA". It matches the Rfam family "Eukaryotic small subunit ribosomal RNA", at positions 1299 to 1458 of the family's 1831-position model. The record is from RNAcentral.
UCGUGGAUUGAUUUGUCUGGUCUAUUCCGAUAACGAGCGAGACCCCGACGUUCCUAAUAGGGGCAAUAGCCAAGCUACCCUCGGGUUUGCUAGCAAUUGCUUAAGAUUCACUUCUUAGACGUAUCAGAGCCGAAAAGGUUCUUGAAAUGGGUUAAUAACA